Molecule: small nuclear RNA, 101 nt
Organism: Gordionus sp. m RMFG-2023
Lineage: Eukaryota; Metazoa; Nematomorpha; Gordioida; Chordodea; Parachordodidae
Product: U4atac minor spliceosomal RNA
Exons: 1
Source: RefSeq, a predicted model, not a curated record
ACCGCCUUUAUCAUGGGGGGCAUACCAUUUGAUGAUCUUUAAGAGAAAAUGGUUUUGCUGACAACACCAUAAUUUAAAUUAAAAUAACAAUUUUUGAACAC